This 312-nucleotide ribosomal RNA is filed under the name Hypsoprora sp. CPL-2004. Its description in RNAcentral is "partial 12S small subunit ribosomal RNA". The record is from RNAcentral. Lineage: Eukaryota; Metazoa; Arthropoda; Insecta; Hemiptera; Membracidae.
UUUGAAUAAAAGUAGUUAAGUUCUUCAUAACUCAAAGAAUUUGGCGGUUAAUUAUAUUUUUAGAGGAACCUGUAAAUUAAUCGAUAAACCACGAUAGUUUAUACCCUUUUUUUAUUUGUAUACCUCUAUUUUUAGUGUUUUUUAAGGAUAUUUUUAUUUUGUUAUUUAACUUGAAUGUUAGGUCAAGGUGCAGUUUUUAAAGGGGUUUUAUGGGUUACUUAAAUUUAAAAUUUGUUUUUUUAUUUAUUUUUGUGUAGGUGUAAAAUUUAGGAUUUAAAAGUAAAUAAGAUAAAUUUGUUUUCUUGAAUUUUU